RNAcentral lists this ribosomal RNA (1235 nucleotides) under metagenome. RNAcentral's name for it is "bacterial LSU rRNA". It matches the Rfam family "Bacterial large subunit ribosomal RNA", at positions 1564 to 2808 of the family's 2925-position model. The record is from RNAcentral.
UGAGUACGAGAUGCUACGGCGUCGAAGCAGUCUAGGUCAUACUUCCAAGAAAAGCUUGCACUGUCAUAAACAAAGAAUGCCUGUACCAUAACCGACACAGGUGGGUAGGUAGAGUAUACUAAGGGGCGCGAGAUAACUCUCUCUAAGGAACUCGGCAAAAUGACUCCGUAACUUCGGGAGAAGGAGUGCCUUAUUUUUAAGGUUGCAAUAACAAGAUCCAAGCAACUGUUUACCAAAAACACAGGUCUCCGCUAAGUCGUAAGACGAUGUAUGGGGGCUGACGCCUGCCCAGUGCCAGAAGGUUAAAGAAGUUGGUUAGCAUUUGCGAAGCUGAUAACUGAAGCCCUGGUGAACGGCGGCCGUAACAAUAACGGUCCUAAGGUAGCGAAAUUCCUUGUCGGGUAAGUUCCGACCCGCACGAAAGGCGUAAUGAUUUGGAUACUGUCUCGGAGAGGGGCUCGGUGAAAUAGACUUGUCUGUGAAGAUGCGGACUACCUGCACCUGGACAGAAAGACCCUAUGAAGCUUUACUGUAACUUGAGAUUGAAAUUGGACUUUAUUUGCGCAGUAUAGGUGGGAGGCGUUGAGAAUAAUCUUGCGGGAUUAUCGGAGCCAUCAGUGAGAUACCACUCUUGUAAUGUUAGAUUUCUAACUUUGUAUCAUUAUCUGGUCAAAGAACAGUUUCAGGCGGGCAGUUUGACUGGGGCGGUCGCCUCCCAAAGGGUAACGGAGGCGCACAAAGGUUUCCUCUGAACGGGUAGAAAUCGUAUCUAGAGUGUAAAGGCAUAAGGAAGCUUGACUGUGAGACCUACAAGUCGAGCAGGGACGAAAGUCGGUCUUAGUGAUCUGACGGUGCUGAGUGGAAAGGCCGUCACUCAACGGAUAAAAGUUACUCUAAGGAUAACAGGCUGAUCUCCCCCAAGAGUUCACAUCGACGGGGAGGUUUGGCACCUCGAUGUCGGCUCAUCGCAUCCUGGGGCGGUAGUACGUCCCAAGGGUUGGGCUGUUCGCCCAUGAAAGCGGUACGCGAGCUGGGUUCAGAACGUCGUGAGACAGUUCGGUCCAUAUCCGGUGUAGGCGUUAGAAUAUUGAAAGGAGCCUUCUCUAGUACGAGAGGACCGAGAAGGACAUACCUCUGGUGUGCCAGUUAUCGUGCCAACGGUAAACGCUGGGUAGCUAUGUAUGGAGUGGAUAACCGCUGAAAGCAUCUAAGUGGGAAGCCCACCUUAAGAUAAG